RNAcentral lists this ribosomal RNA (426 nucleotides) under uncultured bacterium. RNAcentral describes it as "partial 16S ribosomal RNA". It matches the Rfam family "Bacterial small subunit ribosomal RNA", at positions 354 to 796 of the family's 1533-position model. The record is from RNAcentral.
GUGGGGAAUCUUGCGCAAUGGGCGAAAGCCUGACGCAGCAACGCCGCGUGGGGGAUGAAGGCUCUCGGGUUGUAAACCCCUUUCAGCAGGGACGAAUCAAGACGGUACCUGCAGAAGAAGCCCCGGCUAACUACGUGCCAGCAGCCGCGGUAACACGUAGGGGGCAAGCGUUGUCCGGAUUUAUUGGGCGUAAAGAGCUCGUAGGUGGCUGAGUAAGUCGGAUGUUAAAUCCCCAGGCUCAACCUGGGAUCCCAUCCGAUACUGCUCUGGCUAGAGUCCGGUAGGGGAGCGUGGAAUUCCUGGUGUAGCGGUGAAAUGCGCAGAUAUCAGGAGGAACACCAGCGGCGAAGGCGGCGCUCUGGGCCGGUACUGACACUGAGGAGCGAAAGCGUGGGUAGCAAACAGGAUUAGAAACCCCGGUAGUCC